This 1361-nucleotide ribosomal RNA is filed under the name uncultured bacterium. RNAcentral's name for it is "bacterial SSU rRNA". It matches the Rfam family "Bacterial small subunit ribosomal RNA", at positions 28 to 1381 of the family's 1533-position model. RNAcentral also lists the same sequence under 1 other name. The record is from RNAcentral.
GAUGAACGCUAGCUACAGGCUUAACACAUGCAAGUCGAGGGGCAGCAUGGUCUUAGCUUGCUAAGGCCGAUGGCGACCGGCGCACGGGUGAGUAACGCGUAUCCAACCUGCCUUACACUCUUGGACAGCCUUCUGAAAGGGAGAUUAAUACAAGAUGUUAUCAUGAGUAAGCAUUUUCGCAUGAUUAAAGGUUUACCGGUGUAAGAUGGGGAUGCGUUCCAUUAGAUAGUAGGCGGGGUAACGGCCCACCUAGUCUUCGAUGGAUAGGGGUUCUGAGAGGAAGGUCCCCCACAUUGGAACUGAGACACGGUCCAAACUCCUACGGGGGGCAGCAGUGAGGAAUAUUGGUCAAUGGACGAGAGUCUGAACCAGCCAAGUAGCGUGAAGGAUGAAGGUUCUAUGGAUUGUAAACUUCUUUUAUACGGGAAUAAACGAAUCCACGUGUGGAUUUUUGCAUGUACCGUAUGAAUAAGGAUCGGCUAACUCCGUGCCAGCAGCCGCGGUAAUACGGAGGAUCCGAGCGUUAUCCGGAUUUAUUGGGUUUAAAGGGAGCGUAGAUGGGUUGUUAAGUCAGUUGUGAAAGUUUGCGGCUCAACCGUAAAAUUGCAAUUGAUACUGGCAGUCUUGAGUAUAGUUGAGGUAGGCGGAAUUCGUGGUGUAGCGGUGAAAUGCUUAGAUAUCACGAAGAACUCCGAUUGCGAAGGCAGCUUACUAACCUGUAACUGACAUUGAUGCUCGAAAGUGUGGGUAUCAAACAGGAUUAGAUACCCUGGUAGUCCACACGGUAAACGAUGAAUACUCGCUGUAGGCGAUAUACAGUCUGCGGCCAAGCGAAAGCAUUAAGUAUUCCACCUGGGGAGUACGCCGGCAACGGUGAAACUCAAAGGAAUUGACGGGGGCCCGCACAAGCGGAGGAACAUGUGGUUUAAUUCGAUGAUACGCGAGGAACCUUACCCGGGCUUAAAUUGCAACCGAAUAUGGCGGAAACGCUAUAGCUAGCAAUAGCGGUUGUGAGGGUGCUGCAUGGUUGUCGUCAGCUCGUGCCGUGAGGUGUCGGCUUAAGUGCCAUAACGAGCGCAACCCUUGCCGAUAGUUACUAACAGGUUAUGCUGAGGACUCUGUCGGGACUGCCAUCGUAAGAUGUGAGGAAGGUGGGGAUGACGUCAAAUCAGCACGGCCCUUACGUCCGGGGCUACACACGUGUUACAAUGGCGUUAAACAAAGAGAAGCAAGACCGCGAGGUGGAGCAAAACUCAAAAACAACGUCUCAGUUCAGAUUGCAGGCUGCAACUCGCCUGCAUGAAGUCGGAAUUGCUAGUAAUCGCGGAUCAGCAUGCCGCGGUGAAUACGUUCCCGGGCCU